AUUGAACGCUGGCGGCAGGCCUAACACAUGCAAGUCGAACGGUAACAGGAAACAGCUUGCUGUUUCGCUGACGAGUGGCGGACGGGUGGGUAAUGUCUGGGAAACUGCCUGAGGGAGGGGGAUAACUACUGGAAACGGUAGCUAAUACCGCAUAACGUCGCAAGACCAAAGAGGGGGACCUUCGGGCCUCUCGCCAUCGGCUGUGCCCAGAUGGGAUUAGCUAGUAGGUGGGGUAACGGCUCACCUAGGCGACGAUCCCUAGAUGGUCUGAGAGGAUGACCAGCCACAAUGGGACUGAGACACGGUCCCGACUCCUACGGGGGGCAGCAGUGGGGAAUAUUGCACAAAAGGCGCAAGCCUGAUGCAGCCAUGCCGCGUGUAUGAAGAAGGCCUUCGGGUUGUAAAGUACUUUCAGCGUGGGAGGAAGGGAGUAAAGUUAAUACCUUUGCUCAUUGACGUUACCCGCAGAAGAAGCACCGGCUAACUCCGUG
Molecule: ribosomal RNA, 491 nt
Filed under: uncultured bacterium
Lineage: Bacteria
Description: partial 16S ribosomal RNA
Rfam family: Bacterial small subunit ribosomal RNA
Source: RNAcentral